Molecule: ribosomal RNA, 466 nt
Filed under: uncultured bacterium
Lineage: Bacteria
Description: partial 16S ribosomal RNA
Rfam family: Bacterial small subunit ribosomal RNA
Source: RNAcentral
GAUGAACGCUGGCGGCGUGCUUAACACAUGCAAGUCGAACGGAAAGGCCCAAGCUUGCUUGGGUACUCGAGUGGCGAACGGGUGAGUAACACGUGGGUGAUCUGCCCUGCACUUCGGGAUAAGUCUGGGAAACUGGGUCUAAUACCGGAUAGGACCACAUUUUGGAUGGUGUGGUGGGAAAGUUUUUCGGUGUGGGAUGAGCUCGCGGCCUAUCAGCUUGUUGGUGGGGUAAUGGCCUACCAAGGCGUCGACGGGUAGCCGGCCUGAGAGGGUGUACGGCCACAUUGGGACUGAGAUACGGCCCAGACUCCUACGGGAGGCAGCAGUGGGGAAUAUUGCACAAUGGGCGCAAGCCUGAUGCAGCGACGCCGCGUGGGGGAUGACGGCCUUCGGGUUGUAAACUCCUUUCGCUAGGGACGAAGCGCAAGUGACGGUACCUGGAGAAGAAGCACCGGCUAACUACGUG